RNAcentral lists this ribosomal RNA (423 nucleotides) under uncultured bacterium. RNAcentral's name for it is "bacterial SSU rRNA". It matches the Rfam family "Bacterial small subunit ribosomal RNA", at positions 207 to 622 of the family's 1533-position model. The record is from RNAcentral.
AAGAUCUUGCGCUUUUGGAGCGGCCGAUGUCUGAUUAGCUUGUUGGUAAGGUAAAAGCUUACCAAGGCUUCGAUCAGUAGCUGGUCUGAGAGGACGACCAGCCACACUGGGACUGAGAUACGGCCCAGACUCCUACGGGAGGCAGCAGUGGGGAAUUUUGGACAAUGGGGGCAACCCUGAUCCAGCCAUGCCGCGUGAGUGAAGAAGGCCUUCGGGUUGUAAAGCUCUUUCAGCCGGAACGAAACGGUUACGGUUAAUACCCGUGACUACUGGCGGUACCGGAAGAAGAAGCACCGGCUAACUACGUGCCAGCAGCCGCGGUAAUACGUAGGGUGCAAGCGUUAAUCGGAAUUACUGGGCGUAAAGCGUGCGCAGGUGGUUUUGUAAGUCAGAUGUGAAAUCCCCGGGCUUAACCUGGGAACU